RNAcentral lists this ribosomal RNA (491 nucleotides) under uncultured bacterium. RNAcentral describes it as "partial 16S ribosomal RNA". It matches the Rfam family "Bacterial small subunit ribosomal RNA", at positions 29 to 507 of the family's 1533-position model. The record is from RNAcentral.
AGUGAACGCUGGCGGUAGGCCUAACACAUGCAAGUCGAACGGCAGCACAGUAAGAGCUUGCUCUUACGGGUGGCGAGUGGCGGACGGGUGAGGAAUACAUCGGAAUCUACUUUUUCGUGGGGGAUAACGUAGGGAAACUUACGCUAAUACCGCAUACGACCUACGGGUGAAAGCAGGGGAUCUUCGGACCUUGCGCGAUUGAAUGAGCCGAUGUCGGAUUAGCUAGUUGGCGGGGUAAAGGCCCACCAAGGCGACGAUCCGUAGCUGGUCUGAGAGGAUGAUCAGCCACACUGGAACUGAGACACGGUCCAGACUCCUACGGGAGGCAGCGUGGGGAAUAUUGGACAAUGGGCGCAAGCCUGAUCCAGCCAUACCGCGUGGGUGAAGAAGGCCUUCGGGUUGUAAAGCCCUUUUGUUGGGAAAGAAAAGCAGCAGGUUAAUACCCCGCUGUUCUGACGGUACCCAAAGAAUAAGCACCGGCUAACUUCGUG